Long non-coding RNA from Panthera uncia (snow leopard), 7797 nucleotides. RefSeq lists it as uncharacterized. Lineage: Eukaryota; Metazoa; Chordata; Mammalia; Carnivora; Felidae. The transcript is spliced from 3 exons. The record is from RefSeq and is a predicted model, not a curated record.
CAGCAGAAGGUGAGAUUUCUUAACCAUAGACACCUCCUGGAAUCUCUGUCUGCAGAGUCUAAUGGAGCAAGAGUGAACCUUCCAGAAUUCAGAAAAUCUCAAUCCUGUUUUCUUCUCAUGUCCUCCAAUGCAAAAAUCACCAGAGAUGUUUGAACUGCAAACCAGGAAGAUUUGUGAGAUUGCACUACCUAUCCUCACUCUAUCUGAAGAUACUUCAAGUGUGACAUUGGAAGUCUUCUCAACUGGCUACCCUCAGCACUCAGAACCUGGCUUAACAUUUGGUCCAAUUAACCAUUGUUUUUCUUUUGUUUCCAUAGAAACCCCUCUUAUUUAAUAUCUGAUUACUUGAAACAUAGGUCUAACUUUGAGAACAUACCUGUAUCAUGCCCCCCUGAAAUGAGUUUGACUGAAAUUACCUAUUGUCAGGACUAAGAGACUGGAUCAGUGAGAUGAAACAACUUGUUAGCUCAAUUUUUUAAUAUGUGAAACUCCCACGGAAGUUUCAGAUGGGGGAGUGGGAGAGGUUUAGGGCAGACUCCCUGACCAUCUGAAUGUGCCACUUUAGCAUGUAGAUUAUUUUGAGCUAAAGGCACUUGAGACCCAGUGGGCUCAAGAGAAACUUUGUCCCUCAUUUAGCCACACAGAAGAAUCCAAAUUGGAGGUCUUUCCCAUAAUAAGUGUUAUUAGCAGAGAUAAAUUUUAUCUGAGUGACCCAUCUGUAUGGCAGGGCAAACAUCUAAUUACCAAACAUCUGUUCUUCUUUUCACCCUGGAAAUGUAUUUCUUUGCUCUGAAAUCCCAGACCCCUAUUCCCCUCUUGUUCAGAAUGACAUAUAUACCUCAUUCUGUCUGCCUGUCUUUGGCAUUUCCAUGUCUAUGUGUAUUCCCUAUACAUAUGCCUAUUAUAUUUGAUUUUCUCCUGUUAAUCUAUUUCAUAUUAAUUUGAUUUUUAGUCCAGCCAAAAAGACCUUGAGCGGGCAGGAGUUCUUGCCUCCUGAGAGUAGUCCUUCUAAAUCCUGAUCCAGACUUUUUACCACAACUAAGCUCUUCAGUAUUGCAAAUCAAAUGCCUAUUGCUUCCUUUUACCAAUCUGGGAAUUCAGAAGGCUUUCAACUGCCUUGAAAUCAAUCAUUUCCACUGUUUCUUUCCUUUCCUUAUUUUUGAUUUAAGACAUUGAGUAUAUAUUAAAUGUCUGUGUGUUCAUCAUGAUGGGAAUGCAAAGAAACAUGUUCCCUACUCAUGAAGCACUUACAAGUGUUAGUUGAGAGUAGAAAUACAUAUGAUCAUAUUCAUGGCAAGACAUAAUUAUGGGAAAAAUCCUGUGGAUUUCCCCUGAAGUUGGUGUGUAACAAAAGUUUAUUCCCUUGUAGACCAUAACUUUUUCAUUUUUCAGUGAGACCUUUGAAGAAUCCUUUAGCAAGGCUGCUUAUCUAAAGAACAGAAUUUUAGCCGUAUUAAGAUGGGGCUGUCAUUUUCAGUGGUAUUGUUCUUUAAAUGGAGCAUAGCAUCAUCUUUGCAUUGGACUAACUGGCCAACAUAAUUGGUGUAGUUUGUUUUUGUCUCUUUAUGUCUUUGGAGUUAUAAUGUAAGUUAAGGAAUAUGGAUGGAACAACACAAACCAAAUGGUUUUCCAACCAACUGUUCUGAUGUGAUGCACGAGAAAUAGCCUCAGCCAGUCCUGGGAAGUGGUAAACUGUGAUGAAGAGCAUGGGAUUUUUGUUAAUAACCAUUCAUUAAGCAGAUACCUAUAAAUAUUUCUUGAGUCCUUACUAUAUACAAUGCACUAUUGAAUAUUCUGAUGAUAUAGCAGUGAAUAAAAGGGAAAGUGAAUAUAGAGCUUAUGUUCCAGUGGGGCAGACAGGCAAUGACCAAUCACUUAGAAAGUUCACAUAGUAAUGAGUGCUGUGCAAAGAAAAACGUGAUUGAUGAUGAAGCACAGAUGGGAGGAUCCAUGAAGCCUUCUGGGGAAAUAUGACCUUCAGGGUAAGACCCAAAUGAUAAGAAGGAGGUGGCAGGAAGACCUGGAGGAAGGGCAGGGGAGAUGCUUCAGGCAGAAGGAGCAUCAGGUGGAGAAGCCAUGAGAUCAGAUGGUCUGGGCACAUUUCAGAAACAGAAUUUAGGCUGGUGUGGCAAGAGCCUGCAGGAGAAGAGUUAUAGGGCAGGGGGUGAGAUCAGAGAGGCAGGCAGGGGCCUGACCAUGGCAGACUUUUUUGGCAGAAUAAGAAGUUUGGUUUUAACUCCAAAGGCAAUAGAAGCCACUGGAGGAUUUUAAGCAGGGGAGUCAUAUGAUCUAAUUUGCAUUUUAAAAAGCAUACUCUUGAUGCUGUGACAAAAGUGAAUUAUAGGAAGGAGGGAGAGAAGCAAGGAGACCAGUUAGGAUGCAUGGGAGUAUUCCAGAUCAGAGAUGGUGGUCUCUGAACAGGAGCAGAAUGAUAAUACAGACAGACCUGAUUACUUGACUCACUAGCAAGAAGAAACUGGUAAACUCUGGUUGCUAAGCCCUAAUUUCCUCACCCAUAAAAAGCAGAUAGUAAUAUCCAUCUUGCAGAUUUGUUUGGGGGAUUGCCUGAGAUAAAACAGAGUGCCUGCUACAAAGCCAAAGGAUAGCAUGCUGGCAAUCUAGAUUGGGAGUCAGCAAACUGGCUCAUUUGGUCCACCAUUUGUUUUUGCUAAUAAGUUUUAUGUGAACAUGACCAUGCCCAUUUGUUAGGCAUGAUCAUUCUCAUUGUACAACAGUGAAGUUGAGUAGUUGUAACAGAAACCAUAGGGUCUGUAAAAUCGAAAAUACUUCAUCUCUGACCCUUUAUAGAAAGAGUUUGCUGACUGCGACCAAGACUGUAACAAAGAGUAGAAAGAAUGUAAGACAGAUGUACUAUAUCUAUAUACCUAGGAAGUGGUGCAUUCAGAGAAAUAUUGGUGGCAUGUCAUGCAGUAUAUUUUUCAAGUGGUCUGUGAAAGAGAAGGCCCAGCUAUAAAGAGGCGAUCAAUAAAAGCAUUUGAAAUAAACUUAAAAUGUCAUUGUCAUAUAAACCAACAAAUAAUACCAUGUAACAUUCAUAUAAUGUCUCUAUCUUUCCAUUCUGUUCAUCAACAGUUUUAUUAAAAUCACUCACUAUAGAUCUAUAAAUUCAAUGUAAAAGAGGAUAAGUGAUGGAGAGGAUAAGAAAUAUAUUUCAAUUAAUUGGAAGACCCAUACUUAAAAGACAGAGUUCAGUCAGGCCGUCAACAAGUAUUAAUUUAGCAUUAAGUAUGUGCUAGGUCCAGUGUUAGGUGCUGGGAUAUAUGGUGGUAGGCAUAUACUACUUCCAGCUUUCACGGUACUUUGAGUUUAAUGUUUCCUUUUAGGGAAGACCUAUAGGACAGUGUGUGAGCAUCUCUGUGAGAAGAAAGUAAGACCCUCUCCUUCUUCAAGAUAUUUUAUCUCCAUCUAUAGUAAAUAUUUUUAAAAUAUUGUUUUUCUUGCUCAUCAUCGGGGAAAUACAAAUCAAAACCACAAUGAGAUACCAGCUCACACCGAUCAGAAUGGCUAAAAUUAACAACUCAGAUGUUGGCAAGGAUGUGGAGAAAGAGCAACCCUAUUGCACUGUUGUUGGGAAUACAAACUGGUCCGGCCACUCUGGAAAACAUGUGGAGUUUCCUCAAAAUAUUAAAAAUAGAACUACCCUACAACCCAGCAAUCGCACUACAAGGUAUUUACCCAAAAGAUACAAAAAUGCUGAUUUGAAGGGGCACAUGCACCCCAAUGUUUAUAGCAGUACUAUCAACAAUAGCCAAGUUAUGGAAAGAGCCCACACGUCCAUCAACCGAUGAAUGGAUUAAGAAGAUGUGGUAUACAAUGGAAUACUGCUUGGCGAUGAAAAGGGAUGAAGUCUUGACAAUUGCAACAAUGUGGAUGGAACUGGAGGGUAUUGUGCUAAGUGAAAUAAGUCAGAGAAAGGCAGAUACAUGAUUUCACUCAUAUGUGGAAUUUGGGAAGCUUAACAGGUGAUCACAGGGGAAGGGAAGGAAAAAAAAAGAUAAAAACAGAGAGGGAGGCAAACCACAAGAGACUCUCAAAUACAGAGAACAAAUUGAGGGUUGAUGAGGGGUGGGGGAGGGGAAGGGUUAAAUAGUUGAUGGGCAUUAAGGAGGGCACUUUUUGGGAUGAGCACUGGGUGUUAUAUGUAAGUGAUGAGUCACUGGGUUCUACCCCUGAAGCCAUGCAUGCUAACUAAGUCGAGAAUAAAAAAAUAUAUAUAGUGGUUUUCUUAGGGCUAUCUGCCAAAAACAUGUAAUAUAAAUAUUCAACUCUACAGUAACUGCAAUGUGAAUGGCACCUGGGUGUGGCGCCCUUUUGCAGUACAGAAACUUGCUCAAUUAUAUGCAGAAGUACAAGUAUUUAGAUGAGAAAGUGACUAUAAUAUUAUAAAGAAGGGACAGCCCUGGACUGAGGAGUGUGAAGACUGUUUCACUGGUUGUCAGUUUUAACUAAGUCGGUGAUCCCUAAGUUGGAUUGUAUCAGUAUCCUAAGAGUGUCCACAAGAAUUUCAUAUGACUCUCUAAACCUUUUAAUGUAAAAUUUGAACAAGCUACACACUGUUCUUGAAAGAGUGGACAAGGGGAAGAGCGGGCAAAAUAAAACCAUCAGUUAUAGGAUGUCUUUGUGACUGGAAAGUUGAUGCUCUUGGAGGGCACAGCUGGUUUGGGGGCAGCGUUGGUGAGUUGUGCUGUUGUGUUUCAAUUUUCAUCAAGUUGAACUUAUUUAUUUACUUAUUUUCCAGUUUGAAUUUAAAAACUCAGAUUGGAAGUUCAAGGUUUUAUAUCACACAGUGAUAUACAAUUAGAAUCCCUAGAUGCAGGAGUCCUGCAGAAGGCUACUCGAAACAGCUGUAUAAAACACAAAGGCUGAAACUAGGCGAUUCCAUGGUUGCUGGGAGCAAAGCAUGUAAGGAGUAGGUCAAGGAGCUUCAUGGUUAUUAUUUCCCUUGGCUCAGGCCAAAGAUGCAAACACCUGAAUUAAAAGAUCUUGGUUCUGGUUUAUCAGAACUAAAAGGAAGAGAGCAAAAGAAGCAACAGGGAACUAAAAGGAGUAUGUGGGGAAAAAGAAAACAUUUUAAAGGAAAAUCUGUUCCUUUUUAAUCUCCCAAUCCCGUUCUCAAGGUGUCAUUUUCUUUCACUCCUUUCCUCUUGUGUCCUAGGUGCCAUGUCAAUGAACAACUCAAAGUGCCUCUUUCCUUUACUUUCCUAAGCACCCUCAAUCAGAAUCAUGCAGCUUAUUUCAGUGGGAAUUCAGCCAAGGGUAAUAAGGGAAGUUUGCUUUUCCUUCUUACUAUGAGGCUGAAAUUUAUCAAUUUAUUUCUCAUUGCUAAUUACUUUUGCUUUAUGGUAACUUUUUAUAUGUAUUUUUAAGGAUUGAUAUUACUAUUAUUCAUACUAUCAUCACUUUAUGUGUUUUUGAAAUUCCAGACCAAAGUACGGGGAAGUGAUAAAUCAUGUUAAUUGGAAUAUGGAAAUAGAGUUUACCACACUGAUCUUUUCUAUAACUCUACUAUGAAGUUUAUUAUGAUUCUGAUUCUGAUUAUUACCCUUUUUUGUAAACUAUUUUGUGAUUGGGUUUUAAGUUUUAUUUUUAAGUAAGUAAUAUCUACAUUCAACGUGGGGCUCAAACUCAUGAUCCCGAGAUCAAGAGUCACAUGCUCUACCAACUGAACCAGCCAGGUGUCCCAUGUGAUUGGGUUUUUAAAAUAUGUUGAGUUAAGGGGUGCCUGGGUGGCUCAGUCGGUUGAGCGUCCGACUUUGGCUCAGGUCAUGAUCUCCCAGUUUGUGAGUUUGAGCCCUGCGUCAGGCUCUGUGCUGACACCUUGGAGCCUGCAGCCUGCUUUGGAUUCUGUGUCUCCUUCUCUCUCUGCCCUUCCCCCACUUGUGCCCUGUCUAUCAAAAAUAAAUAAAAUAUAAAAUAUGUUGAGUCAGACAAUGUUUCUCAUUCCAUAGGAGAUACCCGAAUAAUCCCUAUUUCCUUUGAAACGUUGAAGAAAUUUAAGGAACUAAGUGAUGGAAGUAGACACUAAAAUAUGUUAUUUAACCGUAUUCUAAAUGGGAUUGUAAAAACUUACUCAAUACACAAACAUUGUCUUCUCAUUCCAGUUGACUUUGAUAAAAAUUUUGCUAAGCCAUGAUCUUUACUGUAUAUUUAGAAGUAUGAGUUUCUACCCAGUAGAGACCAUAAAUGGGGAGAAAGGCCAAAAGCCACAAGAGAAAAAACAUUUUGGUUCAACUUUGUGCUUGGUGAGCUGUUUUCUCUCAUAAAAUUUACAGAUUAAGGGACAUAUUCCUAUACACAUUCAUAGUCCCCAUGGGUAGUGGUAACCAAAUAUGUUUCUUUUGAGAAAUGUUUUUUUGUUACUUGCUUAUCUUGUGAAACAAAUACACAUUCACUAACCAUAAUCUCCUGAACUUAGAAAAAAAAUUUUUUCUCACAGGCAAAGACUUUCUGUAGUAACUCUUAUUUCCCCGCUAAUUACAGAUUCCAUAGACAUCAUGCAAAAAAUAAACUUUUCUCAUUUGCUAAUGUCCAGGUAGGAAAUUCCUACUGUUUAAACACACUUGUGAGUUAGAGUCUGAUUAUAGUAUAAAUUACUCUGGAAGGAAUAGAGUGUCUAAUUGAAGUUGUGGGGAAAUAUAUAAAUGUAGAAGCAGCAAAGGUAUGACAGGGUAAGAGCCCUUCUAGUGGUGGUUCUUGAAGUAACAUUAGGUGACUUAAGGACAAGGUAUUCACUACUUCUGUUAACACUGAGGAAAAUGUUUACAUCUAUUGCCAGUGCUUGUAUCCUCUAAACCCUUGUUAAUUUUUUUUUUUAUUGAAGAGAGAGGGUUCAGGCAGAAUACAGAAUAAAUCAAGAAAUUUAUAAUAAUUUGUUUUCAUCAUAUCUGUUGGGUGCAAGUGAAAGUGGUUUUCCACUAACAUAGUAAGAUAAUAUUUCUUUUAAAAAUAAAUAAGCUAAGAGUAAGUUAAUGUAAAUGAAAAUAUUAAGUAAUAAAGGUGAUACACAAAUAUGGCAAGUAUUGUGAAGUGAUAGAGUUCAGAAUAUUCCAUUAGAGUUCUCUUAAAAGAGGUUAAAUCGUCUUCAACCCAGACUUCUUCCAACUUCUUUUUUAUCUUUCCUUCUUUCCUCUUUCCUCCUCUGAUAUGUUCUACUCUCAAUGAUUCAACAGCAUGUACUGAGCCCAUGUGUAGUGUCUGACAUUGUGCUGGUUACUGUGAACACAGAAAUACAGAGAUUAAUACAUCAUCAUCUUCACUUUCAACCUGCUCAGUCUCACUGCAGACACAGUUAUGCAAACAAUUAUUAUACAAUGAGAAAUCUGAUGUGCAUGCACGGUAUAGUGUAGCCCAGAGGAGGGACAGCCGUGCAGGAAGCAGGGAAAGGUAUCGGGUUUCGACCUUGGGAAUCAGUCCGAUGAAAUAAUAGUCCAAGUUCAUAAAUAUAUCCUUAAUCUAUUCAGCAAACCUCUAUUGAGCCUGAUGUGUUAAAUACUGGGGAUUUGGACAUGAAAAAGAUACAGUUGACACUUCAAGAUGCUUUUGAUUAUAAGGGGAGACAGAUAAGGAAAACAAUGGUUAUAUAGAUCUAUAUACCUUAUCUGAAACUUUUGAAGGCAGAUGAGUGUCACAAUCCUGAAUUUUUAGAAUGUUAGUAAGGUGCACAUACUGUAUACUGCAUAACAGCCAUAAAAGCGUAUAGAGCAGUACCCCACAAUGAAAACAUGUGACUACUCACACUAAAUGGAAUAAAGACUAAAUGGAAUAAAUAGCCUCACA